AUCCAGCUGACUAGUCCGAAAUAGAACGAAACGCGCAUCCUGGAU
Non-coding RNA from Schistosoma haematobium, 45 nucleotides. The record is from Rfam. Lineage: Eukaryota; Metazoa; Platyhelminthes; Trematoda; Strigeidida; Schistosomatidae.